Molecule: ribosomal RNA, 402 nt
Filed under: uncultured prokaryote
Description: bacterial SSU rRNA
Rfam family: Bacterial small subunit ribosomal RNA
Source: RNAcentral
UAGGGAAUAUUAGAAAUGGACGAAAGUCUGAUCUAGCAACACCGCGUGCGCGAAGAAGGCCUUCGGGUUGUAAAGCACUUUUUGGAAGGAAUAGGAAGGAAUGUACUUCCAGAAUAAGUCUCGGCUAACUACGUGCCAGCAGCCGCGGUAACACGUAGGAGGCAAACGUUAUCCGGAUUUACUGGGCGUAAAGCGCGUGUAGGUGGUUCUGUAGGUAGGGCGUGAAAGCUCCCGGCUCAACUGGGAGAGGCCGUUCUAAACUGCAGAACUAGAGGAUGGUAGAGGGAGGUGGAAUUUCAGGUGUAGCGGUGGAAUGCGCAGAUAUCUGAAGGAACACCAGUGGCGAAAGCGGCCUCCUGGACCAUUCCUGACACUCAGACGCGAAAGCUAGGGUAGCAAACG